This 253-nucleotide ribosomal RNA is filed under the name uncultured bacterium. RNAcentral describes it as "partial 16S ribosomal RNA". It matches the Rfam family "Bacterial small subunit ribosomal RNA", at positions 524 to 776 of the family's 1533-position model. The record is from RNAcentral.
UACGAAGGGGGCUAGCGUUGCUCGGAAUCACUGGGCGUAAAGCGCACGUAGGCGGCUUUCUAAGUCAGGGGUGAAAUCCUGGAGCUCAACUCCAGAACUGCCUUUGAUACUGGAGAGCUUGAGUCCGGAAGAGGAGAGUGGAAUUCCUGGUGUAGCGGUGAAAUGCGCAGAUAUCAGGAAGAACACCAAUGGCGAAAGCAGCUCUCUGGGACGGUACUGACGCUGAGACGCGAAAGCGUGGGGAGCGAACAGG